GAGAGCCGUAUACGCUGAAAGGUGUACGUACGGUUCGGUGGAGGGUCUUAGAAAACCAAUUAUAGAAAUAUAGUAAGGCGUCUUUUUCCUAUCCUAC
RNAcentral lists this non-coding RNA (97 nucleotides) under Clostridium algidicarnis DSM 15099. Lineage: Bacteria; Bacillati; Bacillota; Clostridia; Eubacteriales; Clostridiaceae. The record is from RNAcentral.